UACGGAGGGUGCGAGCGUUGUCCGGAAUCAUUGGGCGUAAAGGGCGCGUAGGUGGCGGCUUAAGCGUGCGGUGAAAGCUCGGGGCUCAACCCCGAGUCGGCCGUGCGAACUGAGUCGCUUGAGCACUGUAGAGGCAGGCGGAAUUCCGGGUGUAGCGGUGGAAUGCGUAGAGAUCCGGAAGAACACCGGUGGCGAAGGCGGCCCGCUGGGCUGUUGCUGACGCUGAGGCGCGACAGCGUGGGGAGCAAACAGG
This 253-nucleotide ribosomal RNA is filed under the name uncultured bacterium. RNAcentral describes it as "partial 16S ribosomal RNA". It matches the Rfam family "Bacterial small subunit ribosomal RNA", at positions 524 to 776 of the family's 1533-position model. The record is from RNAcentral.